Long non-coding RNA from Lathyrus oleraceus (garden pea), 873 nucleotides. RefSeq lists it as uncharacterized. NCBI's taxonomy places the organism in Eukaryota, Viridiplantae, Streptophyta, Magnoliopsida, Fabales, Fabaceae. The transcript is spliced from 2 exons. The record is from RefSeq and is a predicted model, not a curated record.
UACUGUGAGACGAAGCGUCACAUGCUAAUCCAUUCACUCACACUCUAUGCUCCCUAUAUCCAAAAAUACUCACCGCCAGAGCACCUACUGCACCGAGCCUUAUCACUGAUGGCGGCAGAGAGCUAACAACCACAAACUCUACAUGACCGAACUCGCCUUGACCUCCUCAGUCCAAAUUUUCUAUCGAUUUAUCAUGAUUCCUACUCGAACACGCAAACUGAACCAAGUCUCUCACGAACCCUAGGUAGAAGAUUCGUAAAUUAAAUCCUCCUAGGGAGGUAAUUGAAUCUACAAGCUUAGGACUAUCACUCACCUAAUCAAGGCCUAUACAAUGGUAACAAACGCGGAAGCACAAAGAUGAUGACACUUGGAUGUUGCUCCGAUACGAAAUAAUUACUUUUAUGCUCUUCUAUUCUUCUUCUACUCCAAUCUUCUUCAUCGUUGUUGUGCGCUCUGAGUCGCGAUUCUUACGUGUUCUGAGUUGUAGUUAUUGAAGGUGUGUUGUGGUUGAUGGAUUGCGAAGAUUCACUGAAUCAAAGUGCGCCGUGGAUUGAGGACUGGAUUGAUGUUUGAAGUAACCAAUGAGCUCACUGGAGCAUAUGAUCGAAGAAACAGUGACGUUAACGGAGGUUACUUUCAGGGUUCAAUAUGGUUUCUACCAUGGACAUGGCGCUUGGACAAUGCUUCAAAUGGAUUUACGUUCUUGAGGUCGGCUUGUAUUGAUUGUAAUUUUGUUGUAAAAAUGAAUAUGAGGUUGAAUGUAAUGUUGUAUUGUUUAAAUGAUUGAAAUUUGAAGUUAGAAUGGUAAUGGUUUAAAUUGGAAUUGAAAUUGAAAAUGGUUGUGUAAUGUAAUGGUUCUUUUUUUGGAAAUAA